RNAcentral lists this ribosomal RNA (292 nucleotides) under uncultured bacterium. RNAcentral describes it as "partial 16S ribosomal RNA". It matches the Rfam family "Bacterial small subunit ribosomal RNA", at positions 505 to 796 of the family's 1533-position model. The record is from RNAcentral.
GUGUCAGCAGCCGCGGUAAGACGGAGGGUGUAAGCGUUGUUCGGAAUCACUGGGCGUAAAGAGCGUGUAGGCGGUUAAUUAAGUCGGAUGUGAAAGCCCUUGGCUUAACCAAGGAAGUGCAUCCGAAACUGGUUGACUUGAGUACGGGAGAGGAGAGUGGAAUUCCUGGAGUAGAGGUGAAAUUCGUAGAUCUCAGGAGGAACACCGGUGGCGAAGGCGACUCUCUGGACCGAUACUGACGCUGAGACGCGAAAGCGUGGGGAGCAAACAGGAUUAGAAACCCGAGUAGUCC